GAUGAACGCUGGCGGCGUGCUUAACACAUGCAAGUCGAGCGGAAAUAUGCAAUCGGAGAGCUUCGGCAGGAAGAUUACAUAUUUUAGCGGCGGACGGGUGAGUAACGUGUGGGCAACCUGCCCUGUACUGUGGAAUAAUCACUGGAAACGGUGACUAAUACCGCAUGUCAUUGCGAGAGGGCAUCCUCUUGCAAGAAAAGGAUUUAUUCGGUACAGGAUGGGCCCGCAUCUGAUUAGCUAGUUGGUGAGAUAACAGCCCACCAAGGCAACGAUCAGUAGCCGACCUGAGAGGGUGAUCGGCCACAUUGGGACUGAGACACGGCCCAAACUCCUACGGGAGGCAGCAGUGGGGAAUAUUGCACAAUGGGCGAAAGCCUGAUGCAGCAACGCCGCGUGAAGGAAGAAGGGUUUCGGCUCGUAAACUUCUAUCAACAGGGACGAAAAAAAUGACGGUACCUGAAUAAGAAGCCCCGGCUAACUACGUGC
Molecule: ribosomal RNA, 486 nt
Filed under: uncultured Clostridium sp.
Lineage: Bacteria; Bacillati; Bacillota; Clostridia; Eubacteriales; Clostridiaceae
Description: bacterial SSU rRNA
Rfam family: Bacterial small subunit ribosomal RNA
Source: RNAcentral